GGAUUGGUAACUCAGGUGGUAGAGUGUUGGUUUGAAGUACCAAAGGUCGUAGGUUCGAACCCUACCCAAUCCA
RNAcentral lists this transfer RNA (73 nucleotides) under Caudoviricetes sp. RNAcentral's name for it is "tRNA-Phe". It matches the Rfam family "tRNA". Rfam says of the family: Transfer RNA (tRNA) molecules are approximately 80 nucleotides in length. Lineage: Duplodnaviria; Heunggongvirae; Uroviricota; Caudoviricetes. The record is from RNAcentral.